This 433-nucleotide ribosomal RNA is filed under the name uncultured bacterium. RNAcentral's name for it is "partial 16S ribosomal RNA". It matches the Rfam family "Bacterial small subunit ribosomal RNA", at positions 29 to 507 of the family's 1533-position model. The record is from RNAcentral.
AAUGAACGCUGGCGGCAGGCCUAACACAUGCAAGUCGAGCGAGCACUUCGGAAGCAGCGGCGGAUGGGUGAGGCACGUGGCGGAACGUUCCCUUUUCCGCGGAAUAGUUCUGGGACAUUGGGGGUAACACCGCACACGCCCCUUUGGCGAAAGAUUUAUCGGAGUAGUAGCUGCCGGCGUUGGAUAAGGUAGUCGGUGGUGUAAUGGCCCACUAAGCCGUCGAUCCAUAGCUGGUUUGAGAGAACGAUCAGCCACGCUGAGACUGAGACACAGCCCAGAAUCUUACGCAAGGCAGGAGUGAGGGAUCUUAGAAUAUGGGGGCAACGCUGAAGGAGCCAUGCCGGGUGAGCGAUGAAGGCCGUAGAGAAGUGAAGCAGUUUCAGCUGGGGAGGUAAUGACGGUACCCACAUAAUAAGCCCCGGCUAACUCCGUG